Molecule: ribosomal RNA, 536 nt
Filed under: Trichoderma vinosum
Lineage: Eukaryota; Fungi; Ascomycota; Sordariomycetes; Hypocreales; Hypocreaceae
Description: SSU rRNA
Rfam family: Bacterial small subunit ribosomal RNA
Source: RNAcentral
UGCCUAACGGCUGAACUGGCAACUUGGAGAAGUGGCAAGUCCUAUUUUGAUCAUAUCUUUGAAUAUGAUCUAUAGGAUUGUAUUAAAAUUGAAUAAAGCUUUGUUUAUAUAUUGAUAAUGACAGUAUAUAUAUCGUGUCUUGACUAAUUGCGUGCCAGCAGUCGCGGUAAUACGUAAGAGACUAGUGUUAUUCAUCUUAAUUAGGUUUAAAGGGUACCUAGACGGUCAAUAUAGCUUCUAUAAUGUUAGUACUUGACUAGAGUUUUAUGUAAGAGGGCAGUACUUGAGGAGGAGAGAUGAAAUUCUAUGAUACCAAAGGGACUCGGUAAAGGCGAAGGCAGCCCUCUAUGUAGAAACUGACGUUAAAGGACGAAGGCACAGAGCACAAACAGGAUUAGAUACCCAAGUAGUCUUUGCAGUAAAUGAUGAAUGCCAUAGGUCAGAUUAAGAUUUAAUAUUAUAAUUACAAAUUAUAAAUUAAACAUUAUUUGGUCUAUAAAUGAAAGUGUAAGCAUUUCACCUCAAGAGUAAUGUGG